RNAcentral lists this ribosomal RNA (459 nucleotides) under uncultured bacterium. RNAcentral's name for it is "partial 16S ribosomal RNA". It matches the Rfam family "Bacterial small subunit ribosomal RNA", at positions 338 to 795 of the family's 1533-position model. The record is from RNAcentral.
CCUACGGGAGGCAGCAGUGAGGAAUAUUGGUCAAUGGGCGGGAGCCUGAACCAGCCAAGUCGCGUGAGGGAAGAAGGUACUGAGUAUUGUAAACCUCUUUUGCCCGGGGACAAAGGCGGCCACGGGUGGCCGUAAGAGGGUACCUGGAGAAAAAGCAUCGGCUAACUCCGUGCCAGCAGCCGCGGUAAUACGGAGGAUGCGAGCGUUAUCCGGAUUUAUUGGGCGUAAAGCGUGCGCAGGCGGCUUAUUAAGUCUAAGAUUAAAGCCCGGAGCUUAACUCCGGUUCGUCUUAGAAACUGGUAGGCUUGAGUAUGGUAGAGGCAAACGGAAUUCCUAGUGUAGCGGUGGAAUGCGUAGAUAUUAGGAGGAACACCAGUGGCGAAGGCGGUUUGCUGGGCCAUUACUGACGCUCAUGCACGAAAGCGUGGGGAGCAAAUAGGAUUAGAUACCCGUGUAGUC